This 679-nucleotide ribosomal RNA is filed under the name Bacillus amyloliquefaciens. Its description in RNAcentral is "bacterial SSU rRNA". It matches the Rfam family "Bacterial small subunit ribosomal RNA", at positions 23 to 689 of the family's 1533-position model. The record is from RNAcentral. Lineage: Bacteria; Bacillati; Bacillota; Bacilli; Caryophanales; Bacillaceae.
UCGGGGUCGGGCGGUGCGGGGUGCUAUACAUGCAGUCGAGCGGACAGAUGGGAGCUUGCUCCCUGAUGUUAGCGGCGGACGGGUGAGUAACACGUGGGUAACCUGCCUGUAAGACUGGGAUAACUCCGGGAAACCGGGGCUAAUACCGGAUGGUUGUUUGAACCGCAUGGUUCAGACAUAAAAGGUGGCUUCGGCUACCACUUACAGAUGGACCCGCGGCGCAUUAGCUAGUUGGUGAGGUAACGGCUCACCAAGGCGACGAUGCGUAGCCGACCUGAGAGGGUGAUCGGCCACACUGGGACUGAGACACGGCCCAGACUCCUACGGGAGGCAGCAGUAGGGAAUCUUCCGCAAUGGACGAAAGUCUGACGGAGCAACGCCGCGUGAGUGAUGAAGGUUUUCGGAUCGUAAAGCUCUGUUGUUAGGGAAGAACAAGUGCCGUUCAAAUAGGGCGGCACCUUGACGGUACCUAACCAGAAAGCCACGGCUAACUACGUGCCAGCAGCCGCGGUAAUACGUAGGUGGCAAGCGUUGUCCGGAAUUAUUGGGCGUAAAGGGCUCGCAGGCGGUUUCUUAAGUCUGAUGUGAAUGUCCCCGGCUCAACCGGGUAGGGACAUUGGAAACUGGGGAACUUGAUUGCAUAAGAGGAUUGUGGAAUUCUUCGUGUACGGCAAAAUGG